This 126-nucleotide small RNA is filed under the name Marmota monax (woodchuck). The record is from RNAcentral. Lineage: Eukaryota; Metazoa; Chordata; Mammalia; Rodentia; Sciuridae.
GCCAGGUGCAGUGGUGCACACCUGUAAUCCCAGUAGCUCAGGAGGCUGAGGCAGGAGAAUCGCAGGUUCAAGCCAGCCUCAGCAAUUUAGCAAAGCCCUAAGCAACUUGGUGAGACCCUGUCUCUA